UAGGGAAUCUUCCACAAUGGACGCAAGUCUGAUGGAGCAACGCCGCGUGAGUGAAGAAGGUUUUCGGAUCGUAAAGCUCUGUUGUUGGUGAAGAAGGAUAGAGGCAGUAACUGGUCUUUAUUUGACGGUAAUCAACCAGAAAGUCACGGCUAACUACGUGCCAGCAGCCGCGGUAAUACGUAGGUGGCAAGCGUUGUCCGGAUUUAUUGGGCGUAAAGCGAGCGCAGGCGGAAUGAUAAGUCUGAUGUGAAAGCCCACGGCUCAACCGUGGAACUGCAUCGGAAACUGUCAUUCUUGAGUGCAGAAGAGGAGAGUGGAACUCCAUGUGUAGCGGUGGAAUGCGUAGAUAUAUGGAAGAACACCAGUGGCGAAGGCGGCUCUCUGGUCUGCAACUGACGCUGAGGCUCGAAAGCAUGGGUAGCGAACAGGAUUAGAUACCCUGGUAGUCCAUGCCGUAAACGAUGAGCGCUAGGUGUUGGGGACUUUCCGGUCCUCAGUGCCGCAGCAAACGCAUUAAGCGCUCCGCCUGGGGAGUACGACCGCAAGGUUGAAACUCUG
This 558-nucleotide ribosomal RNA is filed under the name uncultured bacterium. Its description in RNAcentral is "partial 16S ribosomal RNA". It matches the Rfam family "Bacterial small subunit ribosomal RNA", at positions 355 to 904 of the family's 1533-position model. The record is from RNAcentral.